UUUUUUUUUUUUUUUGGUCUUUUGUCUUUUUAGGUCACACCUGCGGCAUAUGGAGGUUCCCAGGCUAGGGGUCGAAUCAGAGCUGUUGCUGCCAUUCUAUGCCAGAGCCACAGAGGUGUGCCACAGCGAUGCCAGAUCCGAGCUGUGCCUGCAACCUACACCGUAGCUCAUCUGCAACCUACACCAUAGCUCAUGGCAAUGCCGGAUCCUUAACCCAUUGAGCGAGGCCAGGGAUCGAACCUGCAACCUCGUGGUUCCUAGUCGGAUUCUGCACCACAAUGAGAACUUGGACAUUAUAUAUAUCUUGAAUACCAGUGCAUUGUCAGUGUUGAGGAGGAGAUUUUCCUCUACCUAAAAAGAUUCUGGAUGAUCUAAGCAUUCAGUUGACCCAAGGCAGAUUACCAGGACAAAAUUAAGCAAGAGUUUUGUAUAUAUAAGAGAAACCUAGGAAAAUUGAAUGACUCACCAAAACAGCAGUUGGGGGGAGGUCAAAGUUUCUUCAGUCUUUUGGGCUUGAUUGUUUUCAGUUUGAAAUAAUCUAUAAGCAGAUUUUGCUUCUUUGUAUCACUUAGAUAUCAUAUAAAUAUAUUCUCCUGUUUUGCAGUUUCUCUUAUUUCUUUAGAUGGUGUAUUUUGAUGAACAGAAAUUCUUACUUUUUUUAAAGUGGUAGAUUUAGCUCUAUUUGGUCUUAAGAGUUCUUUCCCUGACACAAAGUAAUGAAAAUAUUCACUUGCAUUAUCUUUUAAAGCUUUAUAACUUUGUAAUUUGCAUUUAGUUCUGGAAUUUAUCUAAAAUUAAUUUUUUUUUGUGGACAGGCUAAGGUAGAAGUCUAAUGAAUUCAUUCCAUAUGUACACAAAAAUAACCUAGUAGCAUUUCCUGGAAAAAAAAAAAAUCUGUUCUUUCCUUGCUAGUCUGCAAUGCUACAUUUAGCAAAUAUUUACAUAUGCAUGGAUUUGUUUCUGGACUCUUUACUCUAUUACAUUGAUUUAUUUUCUUACUGCUGUGCCAAUAGUUACACUUUUUUACUACACCUAAUACGGUAAGUAUUCAUUCUUUUUUUUCCUUUUUUUCUUUUUUUUUUUUUUUAGGUGUAUUUUGGCUAUUUUGGCUUUUACUUUUCAGUAUGAUUUCCAGAGUUGACAAAAACCCUGACUGUAUUGAAUCUAUAGUUCAAUUUGGGAAUAUUUGGCAUCUUUACCAAACUGAAUUUUGCAAUUGUAGGGGAGGAAAAUUUGCCACCCCAAAAUGUCUCUGUCAUGUAGACGAUUUCGAGCUGAAAACAAUCAAGGCCCAAAAGACUCAGGAAAAUCUUUGACUCUCUCUCUGUCUAAGACUAUAGAUAGAGGACUUGUUCCCAAACCACUAACCUCAACAUCCCCUUUCAACUGUAGCUAUUAAAGGUGAGGGCUUCAGCCAUUUUUGUGAUUUACUCAGUUUUCCUGAGUCUGUCUUGUGUAUGCACAUUAUAAAACUUAAGUUUAAUUUUCUUCUGUUCAUCUAAUUCAUGUCCAUUUAGUUCUUGGAUCAGCCAGAGAAAAACUUCUUUCUCCACAACACAAUCCAUUUGUUUAUGUUGCCUUUAAGCACUACUUCUUUGAUGUAAGAAAUUAUGUCUCCAUUUACUAAAGAACUCAUCAGAGCAUCUGCAUAAGGAAGUGUGUGUGUGUGUGUGUGUGUGUGUGUGUGUGUGUGUGUGAUGCAUUCUUUCUAGUGAGUCUUACCAUCUGACCUCAGAGAAUAGAAAACAUCUGCUCUAUUGUUGUUGGUUUCUCUCUUUGCCACUUAAUAGUUCUUCAUUUUGAUAAGAUUUGCUAAUUUUCUUAGGUUGUGUUCGCGUAGUAGGGAUGGUUCUUUCUUAAAGGCCAAUGCUGAUUUGGAGCAUGGUCUCCUGACCACCUCUUUCUAGUUUCUGAUGAAUCCAGUUGCAUCAUAUUUCUGAAUUCAGCCCCACCAUGCAGUUAAUCAGGGGGAACAGAUUCUGGAUCUACUGCUGUGCUGGCCCAUAAGAACAAGAAGACUUAACUGAGUUCAGGCUUAGGUCAGAUUCUCCAAACCAGCUUUUGCCACAUGACUUUGUAUUUGUAGGGUUCUAGGAACCUUGCCCAGCCAGGGUUGCAUCCAGUACUCCCCUCUCAAUUUGGCUAUUAGUGAUAUGAGUACAGAAGUCCAGAAAGGCAAAGGUAGAUUUCAAGAGCUAAACUGUUCUUAAAAAUACAAUACUAAAUUUUUCACAAAGCAAGUUGUACCUUUAUGUAAUUACAACUAAUAAUAUUUUUUUUAAAAAAGCAUUUUGUUUCAUUAGAAUUAAAAUAUAACUUUCCUUUCUUUCUACUGAAUAAUUAUUAUUCUCUGAUUUUUAAAGCCUAAAGGUGAAAAGUCAUAGCUAAAUAUGAUAAAGGAAGCAGGCAUUUGAGGGUAUAUGCCUUUUCAAAACUGUACCAAUUGAGUUUAUUUUCCAAAUGCAAUUAGCAUGAAUCAAUGCAAAAGAAAUAAUCAUAGUAAUAACUAUUAUAUGUAUUUUUCAGCACUUUAUGUUUUCAAGUUACUUUAGUACUCAUUAUCUGUGUUCAUCACAAGCUAAGUGGCUUUUAUUCCCAUUUUAUGCUUGAGGAAACUGAUCAAAGAAGGUAGAUUAAUUACUGAGUUACCAAAAUAAAGAACAGUGUCUUCUGUGAUAUAAAAGAGAUAGACAAAGGCUCUGAUUCUAGGGUUAAUAAAUUAUAGAAUUAAAUUUUAAAUAUAUUUCUAUUUAACCCUAGUAACAGUGCAGAGUAGUAAAAAGGAUGCACCUUUGGAGUUAGACACAACUCCUCCAUCUACUAGCUGUGUGAUAAAGAACAAUGUACUUGAAACUUCCCCCAGCCUACUUUCUUUAUCUAUGCAAUGUGUAGCAGUAUCUAACCCUUAGGUUUUUGGCAGGAUUAUGUGAAAGCCUCUAGAAUGGUGCUCAGCACAUAGCAGUGUUUCAAUAAAUUGUAUCAAUAAUUUUAAUAAGUAAGUUUUUAAAUGUAAAAGGAGAUCUAAAUCAAGCAAGGGUAUAUAUUUUAAUCUAUAAUAUUAAAAAGAAUCCCAAACUUGAAUUUGAAAUACCUCUCUUUCAACUUGGGCAGAUUUUCAUUUCUUUCUGCAUUGAGGAACUUGUGAUAGGUCUGUUUGAAAGGGUCAGUGAAUGCUUCAUGGCUUGGGGAGGAAAAUAAUAAUGAGCAAUGGAAGCUGUGAUAUGCUGUUCAGAUUCCUGUUCACAACUGAAGAGCUUGUUACCCUAAUUGCUGGAAACCCUCAGUUGUCAUUCUCCUCUGAAAAUAGCCCAAAUUGGUGGGAGGAGCUGCUUCUCCCAAAGUCACAGCUCUUUUACAGGGAAGCUUACAUCCCUUGACUGGUUGAUAAAGACUUGACUUUCUCAUAACAAUAUGGAACAAAUCUGAAGGACCAUUUCACCUUCACAGCUCUUUGUGGCAUUUAGUUUUGAUCAUUGUUGAAACUGCAUUUCAUCCCAACUUUCCCCUCUGCCUGAUCUUGCUUACUUCCCUCCUCUUCCAUUUGUGUUGAUCCUAAAAGCACUUCUCAAUAAAUUUUCUGAAUGCCAAUCUCUGUCUCAGAGUAUGCUUCCUAUGAAUCGUAACCUGUAACAUAGUCUUACUCUAGUGUUCUAUGGCUUUCUGAGCCAGAUUUUUAUGUAAGACUACCCCUAAUAGAUACUAAUUGACAAAGCUGGAGAACACAAACUGGAUUUUAAUCUCAUCAGAUACCAUGUGUUACAUAGGUGAGCACAAGUCCUGUUUUUAGUUUCAUUGAUAAUACAUUCACCCCUUAUCAAGCAAGUUUCAGGAUAAUAGAUUCAUGCCAUUUAAGUAGCAAAAGUGAAUGGCAAGGUGGAGUAAUGAAUAUGCAAGAAAAAUGGAGAUAUGAAAUUAGGGGGUUGCAGAGUGAGCUGGAGUACUUUUAUUGAACAAAAAUGUCUCCCUGUUGUCACAUAAAAUCUAAUUUUUUUCCCCCCAGAAAUUAAGCCUUGUGAAUAUAUUCAGUUUCCCUUUCCUAAAACACUCAUCUACAACAGUGGGGAUGCUAAAGCAAACUACCCUGAAGAGAGCAAAUCCUAUUUUGCUAUAGGUUUAAAAUGUUCUUAUGGCUUAACUAUAUCCAGGUAGUCAACUGUGGCUAGAAAUGUACAACAUACACAGAAAUACACUUUCUUCAAGUUAGGAGGUAGAAGACGUGGCUUUUAGUUAAAUACAACUUGACUGCCUCAGGACUACCUCUUCCAUGUCCUGGUGCGUCUCUUUUCUAUAGCGCUCUUCAAACUGGAGCAUGUGGACAUACUGGUGGGCAAAGGUGCGUGCAUCAGCAGGAAAACCACCUCUUUGUGCUUUGAAUUUUUCUCGAAGCUUUGGGAAUUAUCACAUUUUUAUCUUCGUUUUAUUUUUUGCCCCAUGUUGCAUUUCCAAGUAAAUUGUAAGAAUAUCACUUUCCAUUUUGAUGUAUUUCCAUUUUGUCUCAAAAUUCUGGAGUGUAAAAUCUUUUAAUGCGUAGGCAGUGAUUUAUGUUAUGGAAGACCUAGGGCUGUGUGCAACGGAAGAGAUGCACCCCAAACAAAACACACUAAGGUCAUCAGUCUUUAGACUGAAGUACAGGAGGAAAAGAAGGAAGAAUAGAGUAUCUGAAGCUUAAGAAGGAAGCUCGUGGAAAGAAUGACAUAAUGAAAAUGCACACAACUUGUCUGUUGAAAAAAUUAGCUUCCUCAAGCCAGAUAUCUUGUUUGUAGAGUAUGUCUGUGAUGACAUGUUAAUUUUCACCGUGCUUAAU
This 4804-nucleotide long non-coding RNA is filed under the name Sus scrofa (pig). Its description in RNAcentral is "lncRNA (ENSSSCG00030065735.1)". The record is from RNAcentral. Lineage: Eukaryota; Metazoa; Chordata; Mammalia; Artiodactyla; Suidae.